UCACAGAUGUGACUGUGGAAAGGGU
RNAcentral lists this non-coding RNA (25 nucleotides) under Rattus norvegicus (Norway rat). Lineage: Eukaryota; Metazoa; Chordata; Mammalia; Rodentia; Muridae. The record is from RNAcentral.